AGUGACUUAAGUUAAGAAUGACUAUUUAUUUUCAAAAUAAAAAGAAACUUUGUGUUAGUUGCUG
RNAcentral lists this transfer RNA (64 nucleotides) under Ogmocotyle sikae. RNAcentral describes it as "tRNA-Trp". The record is from RNAcentral. Lineage: Eukaryota; Metazoa; Platyhelminthes; Trematoda; Plagiorchiida; Notocotylidae.